CGAGUAGCGGUGGCUGAAGAACGAGCAGGAGCUUGAAUUUCAGUUUUCUUAUGAGGAAUUUUCCAGAAAAGAUAUCUUCACUGUGAAAUAACUAAAUAAAUGCCCACUCAGUACAGUCACUGUCUCCCUUUUGGAACUUGAUGGCACCUUAAGCCCAGGUUUGCCUCCACUCUAGAAACUCAUCAGAGUGAUGCCCUUCUCAAAUGGGGGAGGUCCCAAAGCGGAUAUCCUGGCAGUGUGAAAGGCCGGCUAAAGGUUUGUGCCAAGAGGAUCUGUGGAAUGCAUCUCCUACAGCUGGUGCUGCUGAGUAACCACUCUGAUCUGGCAUCUUCUUUGAUCAAGUUACAGAGCAGAGUUUCCAGGGCUGGGGAUUGAAGUCCUGCCUCCUCCCUUUGUCUCUGGUUGUCCUCGGUAAUGUUUUUCCCUCAAGGUACUCAUGAUACUUCCCAUGGGGUGAGUCAGGGACAGGUCUCUUUCCAGGGAAUCCAGGAUGGUAGGGAGGUUGGUUGUCUACCUUGAUCUCACUUUUUCCAUUGUAGAAACUGUGAGUUGGGGAAAGUUUUCCACACACUUGGUGCUGGACAGAUUGUGGCAAGGGGCACCACAGAUAUAAAAAUCUGAUUCUUUUACCAUGCUCAGAGUUUUUUCACUUCUGUGUCCCCAGGAAUUGACUCAUCCUCAUAUCUGAGUUCUGGGAUAUUGUUGGUGAUAAUCUCAGUGCUGUAUAUUUGUUUUUGGUUUUCUGGUGUGGAAGUGAAGCCAGCUUGCGUCUACACUGCCAUUUUUGAACUAGAAGUCCACCUGAUGCCAUGUGGGUCUGCUCUAACAAAGAUGCCUGUAGCUGUCUCUGUAGGUACAAUUGGAGCUACUACCUCAUAAAGUUUGUGGUAGCCCACUAUCUGGUUUUUGGAGGGGCUAGACUGGUAAAUUAAAUGGAGAUACAAUUUGAACCAUCAUCCCCGAAUCUUUUAGGUCUUUUAGGAUGGCAUUAAUUUCUGCCAUUCCCUGAAAUAUUAUUUUUUGAUUUACUGUAUUGGUAUGGAGAAGAGGUCAAUUUUUAAAGCUUCCACCUGGCCACUUGGCCUUUAUCACUAUGUUAGCUCUUACCACACACACCGAGAAACCUGGUGCCACUAAUCAAGUGUAUUUAUCACAAUUAUACACUCAAGGACUAGGUGGGUCUGUGGAUAUAUUGUGAGCCAGACUUGGGCCAGGACACCCUAGGACUUGGCCUCCAUAACCCUUACUCUAAUCAAGGGCAUAUAGUGAGAGUUCUGUGAUAUCAUUGUUAACUCAGACCCUGUUUCCAACAGAUAUCAAAAUGUUGAGUAUUCCCCUUUCACCACUGUAUGAUUUCCUGAGUAAUGGUGAUAGGUCCCUUUGGAGAAGGACUAGAGGAAUCAUUAUUGUGCACACUUGUGGUAUUACACAAUCCUUCCUCCUGGGGACCCAGAUUCUUCUUUAGUUAAUGGGCCUGGAUCCAAAAACGGACUCAGGUCUGGAAAUCGGACAAGGGGUCAUGAUUAUUUUUUAUUUUUAUUUAUUUAUUUAUUUAUUUAUUUUUGAGACAGAGUCUCCCUCUUUAGCCCAGGCUGGAGUGCAGUGGCACAAUCUCUACUCAUGGCAACCUCCAUCUCCUGGGUUCAAGCAAUUCUUUUGCCUCAGCCUCCCGAGUAACUGGAUUACAGGCGCGCACCACCUUGCCCGGCUAAUGUUUGUAUUUUUAGUAGAGACAGGGUUUCACCAUGUUGGCCAGGCUGGUCUUGAACUACUGGCCUCAGGGAAUCCACCCUCCUCGGCCUUCCAAAGUACUAAAUUUAUAGUCAUGAGCCACUGCACCCCGCCAGUUUAACUUUUUUUUAAUUGGCUUAGUUGCCAAGAGAGGAAGUUGGGGAGGAUCCUGAGGAGUGUAUGUUUUGUCCUUGGAGAGAGAGCUCAUUGUCUUCAAGCAAAAGAGGGAGCACACUAGCCCUUAUUAGAGAAGAGAGGGGCACUUCUGUAGCCUUAGAAGGUUCUGGAAACCUGAGGAUUGAAGAUUUUUCAGGUGCAUCAACCCAGAUGGUUUCAUCCCAUGUGUCAGGGUUCCAUUUUUUCCCAAUCAGGGUCCUGACAACAGCACAGUAGACCUGCCUAGCUUGGGUCCUAACUUCUUUGGAGUUUUAUUCUCAUGACUAAGUCCUGGGCCUGGUCCUCAGCUUCCUCUCCUCAUUGGCUUGAGAACCUGAGAGUCUCAUAUUCUACGAGGGAGGCUUUCUGGCCCUCACACUGAGUUUUUGUUUGUUUUUGAGACAAGAUCUUGCUUUGUCACUAAGGCUGAGUGUGUAGUUGCACCCAGGCUGGGAGUGCAGUGGCACAGUAAGCUACUGUAACCUUGAACUCCUGGACCCAAAUUAUCCUCUGGCCUCAGCCUCUUGAGUAACAGAACAACAAAUGCAUGCCACUAUGCCCUGCUGAUUUUAAAUUUUUGUGGAGAUGGGCCUUGCUAUGUUGCCCAGGCUGGUCUUGAAUUCCUGGCCUCAAGCUAUCCUCCCUUUUCAGUCUUCUGAGGCACUGGAAUUACAGGCAUGAGCCACGGCUCUUGGUCCCACACUCAGCUUCUAAUUACCAACUAAUCACUCUCAUUCUUUUAUUUUGAGACAGGGUCUCAUUCUGUAGCUCAAGCUGGAGUACAGUAGUGCAAAUAUAGCUCACUGCAGCCUCAAACUCCUGGGGUCAGGUGAUCUUCUUGCCUCAGCUUCCCAAAUAGCUAGGACUACAGCCACAAGCUACUGGGCAUGGAUAAUUUUUUAAAUAUUUGUAGAGACAGGGUCUCGCUAUGUUGCCCAGGCUGGUCUCAAACUCCUGGCUCAGCCUCCCAAAGUGCUGGGAUUACAAGUGUGAGCCACUAUGCCUGGCCCAUUCUCAUUCUUCUGUUAUCUUUUUCCAAGGUAUCGGUCUAGCUCAGUAAUAACUCUUCAGUUCCACUGUCUACACUGUUUCCCACCUGAUCUUCGUGCCUGCCGGUGCAUUUCUUUGUGUUGACAUGCCAUCUCAGUUCACCACUAGUCAAAGUUUUAAUAACUGCACUGUCAGGGUGUGCUAGCAGUUAACUUCUCCCUGCCCCAGUGAGGAGACUCUCAUCCUAUAAGUGAGAAGGCAAGAGAAAUGGCUCCAAAAGCACACUGGAGCACCUACUUUCCUGCAACCCUUCUGAUACCAAGUAUCACAGAUGCUGAGAUGAAGAUUAGUGGGUAGGAGAUUUGGAUUGCCACCUGUGGAAAGAAAGGAAACUCCACUGGGUGGAGGAAGAAUAUGGACUAUGAUGCAAUCUCAAAGGUGGCCUUAGCUGACACUAAGGGGAACUCUGAAGCUAGGAUGGUCUUUCAGAUUGUUCUAAUAUGGGGCAAUGGGACUAGUCUUUGCAUGCAGCCUGGCCCAAGAAGGAAGUGUGACUUCAGAUGAGGUGGCUCUUUUCACUUAAGAGGGCAAUUCUACUGACAGCUGAGGGCCGUUGGGUGCACACUGCCAGAGCGAGAAAACAAAAUCCUCUGUAGGGAAGGGGACUGUGUGGCAUAUCACAGCACACCCCGAGAACAAGGGAGCGGCUCUUCAUCAAAUAACACAAUAUGGGCCCACAUAUUCCCAGAGGCUGCUAUAGUGCUGGGCACAUUAGUGCUCAAUAACUUAUUGAAUUAGUAUUAUCAUAUUGUGCUAUUGCCAUCCUCAUCUUUUAAAGUCACUUAUCACUUAAUGGAUGUUCUUGUUAGAACUGACACUAUGAAGAUGACUAUGACACAAUUACCUGUUGAGCCUAUUUGAGAAAUUAACCUAUAUUUAACAAGUUUGACUAAUUAGAUUGGUUAAGAGCCUUAGCAGAGGGCUAAACAAAAUGGUGUUAAAGAAUACACCUGAUGGUCCAAGAAAAUCCCUAACUCCCUAGAAGGUCUGGAUAGUCUGAGAAGUGACAUUCGAACAGUGUAAUGCACUUUCCUCCAGAGCCAGAAGCAGGGAAAGCAGAGGCAGCAGCAAUUUUAUCUUCUGGGCACCUUAUCCUCAGACCUCAUUUUAUCAAUACAUACGGACUGUCUACAACCACGUAAUAUCCUUUUCAUCAGCCUUAUGAAAUUUUCCCCCAAUUUAUCCAAGUCAGGAUUUCAGUAUGCAGAAGUCUAAUGUCAUCUUGGAGAGUUCAUUGUGCCUCCCCCAUAUCCAAGACCAUUUACUAAAACCUUAGUUCAGUCUUUAAAGAGUCACAAGAUCCUAUUAUGCCUAGUUUUUUUUCCAGUCUUUUAAGUCUAUUCCUUACCUUGCCAAAAAAGUACCUGUUUCUAUGGUUUAACAAAUGGAGCUUAGAAUAUGGAACUAUGGUAAGUGCUCUUUAGAAUUUAAAAUAAGUUACAUGUACUGGUUUUCCUUUAUUUUGUAGUUUUGUUCUCAAAGAAUUCCAGAUAUGAUUUUUUUCCAGACAAAAAUACCUGCUACAUGCUUCCUUCUGUAUGAAUACAUGAGACCUACCUUCAUUCAUGUUUCCUCUAUGAAGCUUUCCCUGCACUCCAAACACAGAGCUGAGACUUCCACCUAAUGUAGAAAGCUAGCACGAGCCGGCGCUGACAGAUGGAAGACUUGAGAUGUUACAAGAUUAUAUAUGGAAACACAAAAGGAGUGGAGUUGCUGGGUCAUAUGGCAAUUCAUUUGAGGAACUGAGAAGCUUAUUCCAUGGAGGCUGAACUGUUUUAUAUUCCCACCAGCAACGUGUAAGGUUCCAGUUUAUCUACAUCAUCACCAACACUUGCUAUUUUCCAUUUCAUUAAUGAUAGCCAUCCUAGUGGAUUUGAAGUGGUACCUUAUUAUCGUGGUUUUGAUUGCAUUCUCUAUUGACUAAUGAUAUCGAGCAUCUUUUCAUGUAUUUUUUGGUCAUUUGGUCAUUUUUCUUUUUUAAUUUUAAAAUUUUGAGACAGGCUCUCACUAUGUUGCCCAGGUGGUCUCAAACUCCUGGGUUCCAGCGAUGCUCAUGCCUCAGUCUCCCAAAGGGGUGGGAUUACAGGUGUGAGCCACUUUGCCCAGCCCAUUUGUAUAUCUCCUUUGGAGAAUAUCUAGGUUCUUUUGAAGGUAGCUGCAUAUAAACUAGCCAAAUUAACAGACUGUGGUUUUUAGAUGGCUUUCCAUAUCUACAAGAACUAUUUAGUUCUCAAAACUGGGAAGAAAUGUUUCAGAGGCAUCAUUAAUUCAUAAUCUAAAAAUUUAUCUUGGGUUUCCUUUUUUCCCCCAGAUUCUGUAUCCUCCAUAGUCCUAUUCAUGACAUGGGUCGUUCAUCUCUGUAUUCUAAACCCUCAAUGAACUGUAGACAGUAAUAAAUAUUUAUUGGAUGAA
RNAcentral lists this long non-coding RNA (5349 nucleotides) under Homo sapiens (human). RNAcentral's name for it is "lncAB336.2". The record is from RNAcentral. Lineage: Eukaryota; Metazoa; Chordata; Mammalia; Primates; Hominidae.